Molecule: unclassified non-coding RNA, 4675 nt
Filed under: Leishmania donovani
Lineage: Eukaryota; Euglenozoa; Kinetoplastea; Trypanosomatida; Trypanosomatidae
Description: gene:LdHU3.21.2040(CDS-product:hypothetical_prote in_conserved)
Source: RNAcentral
UGCCAGUCUUGCUCCUGUUUUUGCGCGCAUCGCAACCGUUAUCACCAUCACCACCACCACUACUUGAUUGCGGCACGCAAAAUACGCCCACGCGCAGAAAGGGAGGGAACGCACUACACCUUCACCUAGUCGUGUGCAUGAAUGAGAUGGACCGUGUACCUGUGAGCAGCCGCGGUCUAUGCGCCUCGCAGGACCCACAAAGACGGCCGCUGCGCCCGGAGAAGGAGCGAGCAACGCCCAUCGCGCUGGCUUUCGUGCCGUCAACGACAUCGGGCGGACGCGGCGACGCUCACAUCUGUACCUGCACUCUCUCCUCACCGAACCGUGACGGCACCUGUAGCUCAAACAUCCUGUCGCACACGCUAACACACCCUACCCGCACCACGGUUCCGUGGGGCCGUGGGCGACAGCCGAACCACCUCCACGCACCGCCGCGCCUGGCACCGCUGACGGAGUCCCCGAUCGUCGUGCGAGGGUUUGGACCCCCGCCCAUCGCCCCAGCUCCCCUCGCGCUCGCUGAGUCAUCUGAGCACGCUCUUCGUGCGCGCCGGCUCACGUUCACCGCCAGUACUCCUGGUGGGACGUCCCUGUGCUCGGCGCGCUCCGCACUUCCCCUUCUGCCCUUUUCCACUGUCUUGACGGCAGCUCAGCGGGUUGCGCCGGUGCCUGUUUGGCGGCGCAGCAAGCCGCUCACCCGGCUGCCCGCCACUACGCUGGGACCGACACUAAGCAGCAACAGUGAAAAUCCCGACAACGUCGUCGUCGCUCUCUCCGCUGCCGGCAUGCCGAAAGGGGAAACGGAAGAGUGGAGGAACGCAGAGGCGUCCAGCGCCGCGGAGCCUACACCGAACGCCGGAUCAGCCGUGCGCCAUGUCGACUACCAAGUCGCCGCUACGCAGACAGAGCGCGCUGGCAGCUCCCUCGCUGUGAAGGUCGCUACAGAAAGCAGCCGGAUGGCCUUGCCGGAUGUUCCAGCUCCUCUGGUGGAACCUCCACAAGGGGCGUCUGCGCCAUCGAAAACGGAGACGGAUCAGCCGGUGAACGCGCCCAUGGGCGAUAUGGAGCCGCGCAAGAGUCGCCAGGAGGAUGCUUUGGAUGCCCACACGUCUUCAUCAUCGGCGCUGUCUUCCCCGGGGCAUCCCAGCGACCACAAUGUUCAUAGUAGCGUAGACGGCGUGCUGUGGGCGCAUGAGGCGCCUGAGCAGCCGGCCUACGCGCACCAGCACCAACUUCCUGCCCUCUUCUCGCAGCUAGUGCAGGAUUUGUUGGUGGCGGAGCCAAGGGCUGAUGUUGAGGGCGACGAUGACCCGCUGGAGCGAUGGAUACAAUCGUGGUUCGAAAAUCGAUGCAUGACGCAAACGCUGCAGCAGUCGCGGAUUAACUCUAUGAAACACCUGCGUGUGCUUGAAGAUACCUCUGUCGGAGCUAUCGCGCACGGGGCCUACAUCCAGGGCGCAAGAAGCUCCAACUACGCCGAACCACGAGAGAAGCCGGCGGUAGACAAGGAUGUAGACGAUGCUACGCACGCCGGGCCUGCUGCGCGUCCCGCUGCCGGUCCUUCGACCACCAGCAGUGCCUCUGCUGCUGUGACGAAGACGACGACGAAGCAUGCGCCGGCACAGUUGUUCUCAUCGUCGACAGCUGCUUCGCCGCCGCACCAGUACGUGCCGCUGACGGUUGAGCACAUCUGCAGUGCUCUGCACAGCCGCAUGACCAGUGGCGCAUCUCAGCGGGCAACCUCGCCGCCCAAGCCGCCGCAGGCACAGCCUCUUCCAAUAUCGCCGGGCACCCUCCACUCCGCUGGAGCUAGCAGCACCCCACGCCAGCCGCCACAUAGUGCUGCAGACGGCGGCGGGGGUGUUCUCGCAGCUGUAGUCGGGCUUUCACCCCCACCACAACAGCCGCAGCCGCAGCCGGCGAAGCCGCUGUCUGGCGGCCCGCAUUUGCCAGCCCCGGCGUCGACGCGCUCCAUGUCGUCGAAGCAGACUGUCGUCGCCGCAGCAGCUCUUGCCGGUGGCGGUGAGGGUGACAAGGGUGACAAGGGCGCCAGCGGCGCACGGCCGAAGCAGGCGACGACGGCGUGCGCCGUGUUCGCCCAUUCCUCCUCAUCCUCGGCACCAAAGGAAGCGGCACACCCGCAUGAGUGAGCGCUACAGAUGCGGAAAAGGAAGGCUGUGUAAAUAGGAUCAGGGGCGGUAGUCCAUGUCUGCCCACCCCGCGAAUCAGCUCUCUUACGCAUGCACGUUACUCAGAUGUGCGCACACAGGCGCACACAUACGUGGCAUCGCCAUACAAACUUGCAGGCGGCUCGUAGCUGCACGAGUGUGGAUGUCGUUGGCGAGAAGGGAGAGUGCUGCGCGUGCAUCGGAGGCUCGACCGCCUGCCUCUGCGAGUAUAUGUGUGUACAUGGGUGCGGAUGCGUGCCUGGCAGCCAUCAUCCCGUCUGUCUCCGCCGCGUCCACCUCGCCUCCCUCCCCCCUUCCUCUGCGCCAAGCGUCGAUCGGGUCUGAGAAGAGGAGAGAAGGCGAAACGGCGCGGGAGGGAGGAGAGGCGAUUGAUUGCUGGUUUUUCCUUCGCGCCGUGCGCUUCCGCACCGCUGACCCACACGCCUUCCAGCCUCUAUGCGCGCCUGCCGCCCCCUGUAUGUGCGUGUCUCUGUUUACCCGCACCUGUCGUUCUGCCGUGCGUGCCCCCACCCCCUUCCCCUCCCUCCUCCUUUGCUGACUUGUUCUCUCCUCCUCUCCUCACGUCGUCGUGCGCGUGUGGGCGGGGUUGUACUUCGGUUGUUGUCGUCGCUCCUGUUGGCCUGCUCGCUGGGAGGUGCACUUCUCAUGUAUGCAUGUAUACUAAAGCAAUAUCUGGCGGUGCACGCGCAGACGCGCACGAUCUCUCUCUGUCUCUUUCACAUGCACACUGGCAUGUCCUGGGGAGGAGCGAGACGUGGCGGGAUGUUGGAUCAGUGGGGCGUGCGCGUAUGUAUACGCGUUUCUGGGGUGUGGCUGUCACUUCACCCCGUCUGCCUGUGUCUCUGUCUCUUCCCUCCUUCCUCCAAGCCUCUUUUCACCUGUUUCUCUUUUGCUUCUCGCCAUGUUUUUUUCCCUUACACCCUCGCUCUGUGCCCCGAGCGCCACCGCCGCCGCCGCCUCGUCCUCUUCGUCCUCUGGCCUGCCUCUAUCCCUUUCCCUCCUAUCGUCGUAGCAGCAGCAGCAGCGGCGACGACGGCGACAGCGGUGCGUCUGUCAUUCCACGCAGAUGCACGGAGGCAUUCGCGUUGUUGUUGUUUUUGCUUUUUUUUGCUCUUCUGUCAUUUGCUUUUCGUGCCGUAAUUGCUGUACAUCACCCCACUCGAUCCCACCCCUUCUCUGCCUCACCUCAACCCUCGUCUUCUUCGGCCUUUCUCUGUCUGCGCGCCGCUCUCAUUUUGUGUUUUUGUGUGUGUGAUUGGUGAUGCACCGGCGUACGGGUGCGGGCCUUCUUCCGUCUCUUCUCUGCUUCCUGUUGGCGACAGCGACCCCAGACGCUUGCUUGUUCACGUGUGUUUUCUCUUUCAUUACUUGUUUCGUCUAAAGGGAAAGAGAGCGGGCGGGCGGGCGAUUUUCUCUCUCCCUCUUCCUUGCUGCCCCUAGACGCUGUUCGCCUUCAUCGUGCGCUGCUGUUCGAUUCUGCUUAUACCUCACACACACAAACAGACAGGCACACAGACGCACGCCCUCCACCCUUUCCGUGAUGUCAGUCGGUGUGUGUGGUACUCUCUCGUUUUUUUUUCGUUCUCUCUAUUUAUCUUUCUUUCCCAUGUUUGCCUUCUUCAAUGCAGCUCCCCCCCCAUCCCAACCCAACCCACACCCUUCCUCUCCCCCAAACACACACAGACUCAGACACACACACACACACACGACAUACCACCCGUCUUUUCUGUCUCUCCAUCUAUCUUGCUGUGCGCCUGUGUCUUUGCUGUGGGCAUCGGUCCUUCGAUCUGUGUGCUGGUGCGCGUGCGUCCGUCUGCCCAUCUCUCUCUCUCGCUCGAUCCCCCUUUUUCAACACAACAGGCGAUGGUGCGCGCGUGCAGGGCAGAUGAAUCCACCGCGACAUGAGAGAGACGUUGGCUGUGCGCGGUGCCGUGUCUUUUUUCUCUCUUGCUGAUUUUUUUUCUUCGCUUCUUCUUUGUUUGGCAGCCGUUGGCCACGACAUGCCCCUCACUGGAUGAGGGGCGUGUAUGUUAUGUCUGCAUGGGGGCGUUCGUGCUCGUGAUGAGCUUUUCUUGUUUGUUUUGUCCGUAUGCGUGCGUGUGUAUGGUGUAGUCGUUGAACUAUCUCUCUAUAUAUACGCGAUGUUGCCUCCUCCCCCUUCCAUCCCAUCUCUUUGCCCUCCAUCAAGCGUCCGUCGUCGUUGGUGUUGGUGUCAGCCUCUUGUUUUUGCUUUCCCCUCCUUCUCCCUCACUUCUCGUUGACAGUAUCUUAACAAGUCGCCGCUUCCGGCGCCCUGUGGUGCGCACCAGCGCAUAAUCGCCGCCCACCACCACCCUUAGCAACAACGGGAAAGACGAGUGAGAAAGAGAGUACUUGAUUCUACGCGCAGGAGAGGUGGCCAGUCGGUGCUGCGUUGGUGCAACAAGCCUUCGUAUGUGCGUGUGUGUCGUUCCAGUUGGACUACACAAGAGUACUCGAAAAAGGCCCAG